UCGUGGCCCGAUCGAAGCUGAACGCAGUCAAAUACUGUGUGUCAGUCAAAGCGCGGCCGAAAUUAUACGUUUGUCGUUAUGGUCGCACGAUGGUGCUGUUUACACCGUUGUGCAUUACCCACGACAAAAACAACG
Maniola jurtina (meadow brown) is the source of this 135-nucleotide small nucleolar RNA. The record is from RefSeq and is a predicted model, not a curated record. Lineage: Eukaryota; Metazoa; Arthropoda; Insecta; Lepidoptera; Nymphalidae.